CAGUAGCCGCGGUAAUACGUAGGUGGCAAGCGUUGUCCGGAAUUAUUGGGCGUAAAGGGCUCGCAGGCGGUUUCUUAAGUCUGAUGUGAAAGCCCCCGGCUCAACCGGGGAGGGUCACUGGAAACUGGGAAACUUGAGUGCAGAAGAGGAGAGUGGAAUUCCACGUGUAGCGGUGAAAUGCGUAGAGAUGUGGAGGAACACCAGUGGCGAAGGCGACUCUCUGGUCUGUAACUGACGCUGAGGAGCGAAAGCGUGGGGAGCGAACAGGAUUAGAUACCCCUGUAGUCCCUGUCUCUUAUAC
RNAcentral lists this ribosomal RNA (301 nucleotides) under uncultured bacterium. Its description in RNAcentral is "partial 16S ribosomal RNA". It matches the Rfam family "Bacterial small subunit ribosomal RNA", at positions 509 to 807 of the family's 1533-position model. The record is from RNAcentral.